Molecule: long non-coding RNA, 216 nt
Filed under: Mytilus galloprovincialis (Mediterranean mussel)
Lineage: Eukaryota; Metazoa; Mollusca; Bivalvia; Mytilida; Mytilidae
Source: RNAcentral
CGCAUUAAAUAUAAGAGAACAACGACACAACACUAAAAUGUAACACACACAGAAACGGACCAAGCAUCAGACAAAAUCCCACGAGAAUAACAAAUAUAACAUCAAAACCAAAUACAUGAAUUUAGGAUAGACAAGUACCGUGACACGUCUUAUCGCAAUGUGAAUUUACACUCAAAAAUAAGAGAAAACAAACGACGCAACGUUAAAAUGUAACAC